CCCUUAGAUGUCCGGGGCUGCACGCGCGCUACACUGAAGGAAUCAGCGUGCUAAAACCAUUGUCGAAAGGCAUUGGUAAACCCAUUAAAAUCCUACGUGAUUGGGAUCGGGAAUUGCAAUUAUUUCCCUGAACGAGGAAUUCCCAGUAAGUGUGGGUCAUAAGCUCGCGUUGAUUACGUCCCUGCCCUUUGUACACACCGCCCGUCGCUGCCCGGGACUGAGCCGUUUCGAGAAAAGCGGGGACUGCUGCUGUCGGGGCUUUCGGGCCUUGGCUUCGGUGGAAACCGCUUUAAUCGCAGUGGCUUGAACCGGGCAAAAGUCGUAACA
This 327-nucleotide ribosomal RNA is filed under the name uncultured eukaryote. RNAcentral describes it as "partial 18S ribosomal RNA". It matches the Rfam family "Eukaryotic small subunit ribosomal RNA", at positions 1470 to 1796 of the family's 1831-position model. The record is from RNAcentral.